AAAGAUUAAGCCAUGCAUGUCUAAGUAUAAGCAACUAUACUGUGAAACUGCGAAUGGCUCAUUAAAUCAGUUAUCGUUUAUUUGAUAGUGCCCUUUACUACUUGGAUAACCGUGGUAAUUCUAGAGCUAAUACAUGCAUAAAGCCCCGACUCCGGGAGGGGUGUAUUUAUUAGAUAAAAAACCAAUGCCCUUCGGGGCUGCUUGGUGAAUCAUGAUAACGCAACGAAUCGCAUGGCCUUGCGCCGGCGAUGGUUCAUUCAAAUUUCUGCCCUAUCAACUUUCGAUUGUAGUUUAGUGGACUACAAUGGUUUCAACGGGUAACGGGGAAUUAGGGUUCGACUCCGGAGAGGGAGCCUGAGAAACGGCUACCACAUCCAAGGAAGGCAGCAGGCGCGCAAAUUACCCAAUCCCGACACGGGGAGGUAGUGACAAUAAAUACUGAUACAGGGCUCUUUUGGGUCUUGUAAUUGGAAUGAGUACAAUUUAAAUCCCUUAACGAGGAACAAUUGGAGGGCAAGUCUGGUGCCAGCAGCCGCGGUAAUUCCAGCUCCAAUAGCGUAUAUUAAAGUUGUUGCAGUUAAAAAGCUCGUAGUUGAACCUUGGGCCUGGCUGACCGGUCCGCCUCACCGCGUGCACUGGUUCGGCCGGGCCUUUCCUUCUGCGGAACGGCAUGCCCUUCACUGGGCGUGUUCGGGAAGCAGGACUUUUACUUUGAAAAAAUUAGAGUGUUCAAAGCAGGCCUUUGCUCGAAUACAUUAGCAUGGAAUAAUGGAAUAGGACGGCGCUCCUAUUUUGUUGGUUUCUAGGAGAGCCGUAAUGAUUAAUAGGGACAGUUGGGGGCAUCCGUAUUCAGUUGUCAGAGGUGAAAUUCUUGGAUUUACUGAAGACGAACUACUGCGAAAGCAUUUGCCAAAGAUGUUUUCAUUAAUCAGUGAACGAAAGUUAGGGGAUCGAAGACGAUCAGAUACCGUCGUAGUCUUAACCAUAAACUAUGCCGACUAGGGAUCGGGCGAUGUUAUU
This 1020-nucleotide ribosomal RNA is filed under the name Scolecobasidiella avellanea. Its description in RNAcentral is "SSU rRNA". It matches the Rfam family "Eukaryotic small subunit ribosomal RNA", at positions 39 to 1067 of the family's 1831-position model. Lineage: Eukaryota; Fungi; Ascomycota. The record is from RNAcentral.